Molecule: ribosomal RNA, 1151 nt
Filed under: Heteropsylla cubana
Lineage: Eukaryota; Metazoa; Arthropoda; Insecta; Hemiptera; Psyllidae
Description: 16S ribosomal RNA
Source: RNAcentral
AUUAAUUUUUAUUAGGGGAUAAGUGAGAAAUAAAGUUAAACAAGCUGUGAAGGGGACAUAGUUUGUUUAAUAAAAAUUUUAUUUAUUGUACCUUUGGUAUCAGGGUUAAUUUAAAUUAAUGAAUUAGUUUUUUUUCUCGAAAAUAAAAGAUUUAAAUAUUAAUAAAAUUUUAAUGUUUCAUUAUUAAUUGGAAUAUAUAUUUAGUUUUGAAAAAAAUGGAGAUUUUUUAUAUCUAGUUACUUUAUAAUUGAUUUAAUCAAUUUUAAAUAUUUUGAAAAUUAAUUUUUAUAUUUAAUUAAUUUUUUUUGGGAUAAGCUAAAAAAAAGAUUUAUAGAUUUUUAUUAUAAAAUAAUUUUUUAAGUUUAGAGUUAUCUAUAAAAUUAUAGUAUUUAAUAAUUAAUUUAAUUUUAUUAAAAAUUUAGUUAUACACUUUGAUGGGGAUAAAAGUUGUUUAAUUUGAAUUAUUUUAAUAAAAUAAAAAUGAUUAAAUUAGUAGAAUAAAAAUUAUAGUUUAAGAAUUCGGCAAAAUUAAUUUUUGGCUGUUUAUCAAAAACAUUUCUGGGGGAGAUAUGUUUUUGGUAUAACCUGCUCAAUGCUUAGUUAAUAGCUGCAGUAUUUUGACUGUACAAAGGUAGCAUAAUCAUUAGUCUUUUGAUUGAAGGCUGGAAUGAAUGGUUGAACAGAAAAUUUACUUUUUUAAUUAUAAGAUUUUUUAAUUUAGGGCAUAUGUAAAAAUACAUAUUUAUUUUAAAGGGACGAUAAGACCCUAUAGAAUUUAAAAAUAUUUAUGAGUAAAAAUUUUUUUGUUGGGGUGACAAUAAAAUGAACUUUUAUUUUUAUUUUCAUUUAUAAAUGAUUGGAGGAUCCUAAAAUUUAAGAUAAUAAGAUGAAAUUACCUUAGGGAUAACAGCAUAAUUUUUUUUAAAAGUUCUAAUUUAUGAAAAAGAUUAUGACCUCGAUGUUGAAUUAAAUUAAAUUUUGGUGGAGAAGCUAAUUUUUUCUAGUCUGUUCGACUUUAAUAUUUUACAUGAUUUGAGUUCAAACCGGCGUGAGCCAGGUUGGUUUCUAUCUUUUAAAAAUAUAAGUUUUUUAGUACGAAAGGACCAAUUAUUUUAAUUUUUAUUAAUCUUUAUAGAAUUAUAUUAAUUUGU